This 498-nucleotide ribosomal RNA is filed under the name uncultured bacterium. Its description in RNAcentral is "partial 16S ribosomal RNA". It matches the Rfam family "Bacterial small subunit ribosomal RNA", at positions 30 to 523 of the family's 1533-position model. The record is from RNAcentral.
AUUGAACGCUGGCGGCAUGCCUUACACAUGCAAGUCGAACGGUAACAGGUCUUCGGAUGCUGACGAGUGGCGAACGGGUGAGUAAUACAUCGGAACGUGCCUAGUAGUGGGGGAUAACUACUCGAAAGAGUGGCUAAUACCGCAUGAGAUCUACGGAUGAAAGCAGGGGAUCGCAAGACCUUGUGCUACUAGAGCGGCCGAUGGCAGAUUAGGUAGUUGGUGGGAUAAAAGCUUACCAAGCCGACGAUCUGUAGCUGGUCUGAGAGGACGAUCAGCCACACUGGGACUGAGACACGGCCCAGACUCCUACGGGAGGCAGCAGUGGGGAAUGUUGGACAAUGGGCGCAAGCCUGAUUCAGCAAUGCCGCGUGCAGGAUGAAGGCCUUCGGGUUGUAAACUGCUUUUGUACGGAACGAAAAGCCCCGGGUUAAUACCCUGGGGUCGUGACGGUACCGUAAGAAUAAGCACCGGCUAACUACGUGCCAGCCGCCGCUGUAA